GGGGCUGUGGGCUAGCCUGGUAGGCUGCCGGCCUCGGGCGCCGGCGGUCGCCGGUUCAAAUCCGGCCAGCCCCACCA
Molecule: transfer RNA, 77 nt
Filed under: Thermoprotei archaeon
Lineage: Archaea; Thermoproteati; Thermoproteota; Thermoprotei
Also listed under: 2 other names
Description: tRNA-Pro
Rfam family: tRNA
About the family: Transfer RNA (tRNA) molecules are approximately 80 nucleotides in length. Their secondary structure includes four short double-helical elements and three loops (D, anti-codon, and T loops).
Source: RNAcentral